Molecule: non-coding RNA, 80 nt
Organism: Trichocladium antarcticum
Lineage: Eukaryota; Fungi; Ascomycota; Sordariomycetes; Sordariales; Chaetomiaceae
Source: the annotation of a GenBank genome assembly
GGUUUUGUAGUGUAGCGGUUAUCACUCCAGAUUCUGAUCCCAGCAUUCUGGUAACCCCGGUUCGAUUCCGGGCAAGACCU